GCCGGAGUGGCGGAAUGGCAGACGCUGGGGUCUUAAAAACCCCUGAGGGCAACCUCGUGCGGGUUCGAGACCCGCCUCCGGCACCA
This 86-nucleotide transfer RNA is filed under the name Chloroflexia bacterium SDU3-3. RNAcentral's name for it is "tRNA-Leu". It matches the Rfam family "tRNA". From Rfam's summary of the family: Transfer RNA (tRNA) molecules are approximately 80 nucleotides in length. Their secondary structure includes four short double-helical elements and three loops (D, anti-codon, and T loops). Further hydrogen bonds mediate the characteristic L-shaped molecular structure. tRNAs have two regions of fundamental functional importance: the anti-codon, which is responsible for specific mRNA codon recognition, and the 3' end, to which the tRNAs corresponding amino acid is attached (by aminoacyl-tRNA synthetases). tRNAs cope with the degeneracy of the genetic code in two manners: having more than one tRNA (with a specific anti-codon) for a particular amino acid; and 'wobble' base-pairing, i.e. permitting non-standard base-pairing at the 3rd anti-codon position. Lineage: Bacteria; Bacillati; Chloroflexota; Chloroflexia. The record is from RNAcentral.